AAUUUCUUUAUGAACUUGUAUACAAUGUAUUCAAUGAAGCAAUGAGUAUCAGAUGCGAUAACUAAACGUAGUCACUGAUAAACUGUUCAGCAAUUCACAAAACAGCUCUGAAAAGGGUGGUGUCUUCACCAUGUGACCAAGUUUUUACUUCUUUGAUGAUCUUUCAGGAAGAUAUAAAGAGUUCACCUCUUCCUUGAUACUGUCUUUUCAGACAGUGCUUUUUCAAUCGUUGUGUCCAUGUGUUGGGACCAUUUCCACUUACAAUGACACCUCAAUUGACCUUCAAAGCCCUGAAGAAAGUUUUUGAACCAGCUGGCAGUGCAUUUGCAGCCUUUUUGUGUUGGAUUAUCUUCCAGUAUGUGUUUAAGAUGGAUUUUAAAUGUCCUUGUGACAUCAAUGAAAAUACUCAUGUGUGUGCAGUUUACAUGAGUUUGCCCACCAUCUCACUUUUCAUUGUAAUGAUGAUUAUUGACAAGCACAUAAGGAAUAUUUUUUGCAGUAAUGGAACAGUAAAACCAUGGAAGAAAUGGAAGUGCAUUGUUUUUUUUAUGUCAAUAAUUAAUGCACUCUCUGUUGCUUGUCUGUGGAUAAUUACAGUACUGAUGGAUGGAGACUGGUAUGUGUGCCUUAAAACAACAAAAGAUAACUUGAAAACUUCUGAGCAAACCUUUUGCAAAAUGACAAAAACCGCUGCUGAAAAUGCAGAUAUAAAAGUCCACGAAAGUAUUUCACGAGAGAUUGCCAUUAUGGUUUUAUUUGGAGCAUGUAUCGUUUGGGCCUUCACAACUAUAACACGAUCUCACUGCAUGCAACCACUUGCAUAUCAGUAUAAUACGUUUCUGCUGGAGGAGACCAACCACUAUAUAACAAAGGAAUUUAAAAAAAUGGCUAAAGAUAAGGCAAAGAAAAGGGCAAAGGAACAAAUAGAGGCUUUUUUAGAUGUUUCAGAAACACAGCAACAGCAACCGGAGACUUCACCACAGUCUGCAUCUGACCAAGCAAAUGCAGAGCAACAAGAUCGAUCUUCAUCCCUACAUAGUUCAUCAUCAGAGCAUUUUGAGGAAACAGAUGAAACAAAACCUCUUUAUAAGAAAAGUGAAGAGAAAAGUCCAUUACAUCAGUCUAAUUGA
Cyprinus carpio carpio is the source of this 1130-nucleotide long non-coding RNA. The record is from Ensembl. Lineage: Eukaryota; Metazoa; Chordata; Actinopteri; Cypriniformes; Cyprinidae.